CUGAAGCAUGGUAAGCUAGAAGAACAGCUAUGAGAUAUGAAAUUAGAAAAGUGUACAGGAGCCAGAUCAUAUAGGAUUUAGUAACCCAUCCAAGGAUGAUGGGAAGCGACUGGAAGGCUUGGAGCAGAGAGGGGGGUGGUGAUCUGAUGCGCAUUUAAAAGCAUUGCUCUAACUGCUGUUUGGACAAUAGAGCAUAGAGGGAAGGAGUGGGAUCGGAAAGCUCUCUUGAAGGACUAUUACAGGAUCAUAAAGGGGGAGAUGCUGGCAGGUUGGACUAGGGUGAUGGUAGUGUAGGUAGAGAGAAGAGGAUAGACUCAGGCUAUGAUUUGGAGGAAGAUGGGGACAAUGGGACUUGCUGAUUUAUCAUAUGUGAGAGAUGAAGGAAACAGUAAUUAAGGAUAAACUCACUGAGAUGAGAAAGAUUAGAGAAGGAGUGGAUUAGGAGAGGUGAAUGAGGAUGGAAAUCUGGAAUUUUGUUUUAGCCAUGUUAAUUUUGAAAUUUCUAUUGGAAGCCUAAGUGGAAGUGACACAUUGGUAGUUGGAUGCAGAUAUCUUGAAGGUCAGGGCUGGAGGCACAUGUUUGGGCUUACUGGUACGUAGAUCAUUUGAAAGCCAUAGGACUUGAUAAAAUUAUGUAGGAAGGGGGUACAAAGAGAAGAGGCAGAGUCUUGGCUUGAACCCUGAGGUAUUCCAACAUCUUGAAGGCAAGCAGAAGAUGAGCCAGCAGAGAAUGACAAGGAGUCCCUUUUAUAAUACAUGUUAAGACCCUGACGUUUCAAGACAGAGAGGAUUUUAUAAGUGUAAAGAGAAUGAAUCAUUGAAAGUACAUUCAAAAACAUAGAAACAACCUUUUCUGCCCAGCACUACACUGUGGGCUGUAAGACAGAAUAUAACUCCUUUUCCUUUUCAUAACAGCAGCUUACACUUGUAAGUAUGUGAUAGUUUACAAGACAUUUUAGAAUAUAUCAGUUUCUUUUAAUAGUCACCAGUGUGUGGGAGUUAGGUGCCAUUAUCCUUUAUUUCACAUUUUAGAGAGAUUACAUGACUCUCCUAAGUUCUCACUAAAGAUAGGAAGGGCGAUAGAAAUUUGAAUAAAGCAUCUGAUGCCAGUUUCCUCCUGCUCCACUGUCCUUUCCGCCAAUGCAAAUUCUUUAAUUCUGCCUUUGAACUAGCUUCAGGGAUGGCACUGUAUACCUAGGUUAAGUGCAUUACAGAGGACACCACUUUCUAGCUCUUUGUAUCCCAAAGAAAGUGAACAUCUGGGACCUACCUUUCUCAGGCUCAUUAGACAGGCUGCUUCCUAUAUAGGCUACCAUUUUACUUUGUCCCAGAAAACAGUGAACAUUAGCUUUGAGGCACAGGGACUUUGUUUUAAAUUCCGGCCCUGCCAUUCAUUCGAUGUAUGAUAUCACGUACGUCACUUAACUUCUCUGAGCGUCUGUUUCGUCAUGGGUAAAAUGAAGAUAAUGUCAAUCUGUAACAGAUAUUUGCUGAUAUUGCUGCCUUGUACCCAUUCUUUUCCCCCAUUGCACAGUUAUGGAAAAAAUAUCACAAUUUUGUUGUGAAGGUCUCACACCACUCCACCCUUUGUUCUUGUGCUUUAGAUGGAGCUGUCUCUAUCCUUCCCUUCCAGGGUGCGAUACGAGACCUAGGUCAAGGCUAAGCCAAUCUGUACAAACCAGUGCAUUCCAUCUCUAAGGCUUUGAUGAUUGGCUUACAGCUGGUCACAUGAUCUAAGUCAGGUCAAUCAGAACCAGGAAAAUUUAAAGCUGGUAUAUCUUUGGUGAGCCGAUGGAAGAAAUAGAUUGUCUUCUCUGCUGGAUUGGGUGCUAUAUUUGUGAGUUUGAGAGUGACCACAGGGACCCUGAGAAUGCCGUCUAUAUGAAAGAUGCAGAUUGAGAAAAAGAUUCCAGGAAUGUCAUUUGAGCCCUUGGUCGAGCCAUAUCUGAAGCCGCUGGAUUCUACCCUGGACUUGCAUGCAAGUUAACCAAUCUUCUUUCUUGUUCAAGCCAGUCUGAGUUGGGUCUCCUGUCACCUGCAAGUAUAAGAGUUUAAAUUGAUAAAAUUAUCUUGAAUGGUUGUAGCAAGGAUAAAAUUAAUAAAUAUAAAAAGAACAAAUCCAAAGGAGACUCUCAGUAAAUAGAAGCAAUUAUGGCAAUUUCAUCUUCAGUUUCCUUUAAAUGCUACACCCUUCCCAUAACAGCGAUUGAGUAGUCUCAGAAAUUGAAAACUAUAAAGGAAUCUAAGCAUAACCAGGUGCUGCAGAUUUGUGUAUUUUCAAAAGUUCACAGCAUCAAGCCAAAAUGCCAGUUACUCUGACGCAGACUAAAUAUUCAUCAUCAGAAGAACGCACAUGGAACACACACAUGCAAACGUACAAGACUGUAAACAUCCAUCCUCAUCUCCAAUGAAUGUUUUGGGGGUGAAACUAAUCUUGAUUCUCCAAUUGGGGUCAUGACCCAGACUUGGCUAAUGAGAGAACAGCAUCCUCCUGGCUCCUCCUGCUUCAGAGAUGAAUGUGAUCCCAAGAGGGAAGCGAAAGGAGUACCUGCAAGUUCUCCUGAAACUUUCAGGAUCACUGGCUGCCAUGUCAUGGAUACACCCAGGAAGUUUCUGGUUAAACCCACAUAUGCAGAUGCGAGACACACAAAUAACCAUGUGAGUAUACUUGGAAGUGGACCUUCUAAGACUGCCAACAGCUGUGAGAAUGAGCUUGGAAAUGAAUUCUCCAGCCCCAGGUAAGCCUUGAGAUGAUUGUAGCCAACAUUGACAGCUUCACUGCCACCUCAUGAGAGACCCUGAGCCAGAGGUGUCCUGUGGAGCAGAGACCAGAUUCUGCACCCCUAGAAACUAUGAGGCACUAAGU
Molecule: long non-coding RNA, 2866 nt
Filed under: Equus asinus (donkey)
Lineage: Eukaryota; Metazoa; Chordata; Mammalia; Perissodactyla; Equidae
Description: lncRNA (ENSEASG00005028892.1)
Source: RNAcentral